Long non-coding RNA from Choloepus didactylus (southern two-toed sloth), 505 nucleotides. RefSeq lists it as uncharacterized. The transcript has 3 exons. Lineage: Eukaryota; Metazoa; Chordata; Mammalia; Pilosa; Megalonychidae. The record is from RefSeq and is a predicted model, not a curated record.
UUCUCUGUCCAUUCUCCAAAUUCCGGCACUCUCUCCCUCCCAUCUCUAGAAAAGGUAUUUUCUCUUCCUCUGCUCUUUCACCCGGAAGACCUUUCCUCUUAGCCUAAAUUUAACGCCUUCGGGGAGCUUACAAUGGAGAGAAGAAAGAGGCAAAAACAGCUGCUGAAUCCGGAAACUUCGUGUUCUGAUUUAAAUUCUCCCGGGAACUACCGACAAAAAUGGAUGUUUUAAGAAUCAAAAGAGAGGCUCUGUGUGAAUGAAGAUUGAAGCCAUGAAGCAAAAUAGAGACCAAAGCUUCCACGGAACCCUGUCUGCAUCUCUCUCUGUCAUCCACAUUUUAAUGUGAACAACCAGCUGAUCCGAAGUACUGCAUUGCACAUCACGAUGCACACACGCCACGUUUGAUCUCCCCAUCCCCCCAUCGAGGACAUCCAAUUCCCCACUGUGGUGGUUUGAAGCUGCAUGUACCCCAGAAAAGCAUGUUCUUAAAUCUAAUCCAUUCCCG